Molecule: ribosomal RNA, 447 nt
Filed under: uncultured bacterium
Lineage: Bacteria
Description: bacterial SSU rRNA
Rfam family: Bacterial small subunit ribosomal RNA
Source: RNAcentral
UCCAGACUCCUACGGGAGGCAGCAGUGGGGAAUAUUGCACAAUGGGGGAAACCCUGAUGCAGCGACGCCGCGUGAGUGAAGAAGUAUUUCGGUAUGUAAAGCUCUCUCAGCAGGGAAGAAAAAAGACGGUACCUGACUAAGAAGCCCCGGCUAACUACGUGCCAGCAGCCGCGGUAAUACGUAGGGGGCAAGCGUUAUCCGGAAUUACUGGGUGUAAAGGGUGCGUAGGUGGCAUGGUAAGUCAGAAGUGAAAGCCCGGGGCUUAACCCCGGGACUGCUUUUGAAACUGUCAUGCUGGAGUGCAGGAGAGGUAAGCGGAAUUCCUAGUGUAGCGGUGAAAUGCGUAGAUAUUAGGAGGAACACCAGUGGCGAAGGCGGCUUACUGGACUGUCACUGACACUGAUGCACGAAAGCGUGGGGAGCAAACAGGAUUAGAUACCCUAGUAA